ACGAAGGGGGCUAGCGUUGUUCGGAAUUACUGGGCGUAAAGCGUGUGUAGGUGGUUGUCAUAGUCAGGUGUGAAAGCCUUGAGCUCAACUCAAGAAAUGCACUUGAUACUGGGCAGCUAGAGGACCGGAGAGGAUAGUGGAAUUCCCAGUGUAGUGGUGAAAUACGUAGAGAUUGGGAAGAACACCAGUGGCGAAGGCGGCUAUCUGGACGGUUUCUGACACUAAGACACGAAAGCGUGGGGAGCAAACAGGAUUAGAUACCCUGGUAGUCCACGCCGUAAACGAUGGGUGCUAGACGUUGGCGGGCUUGCCCGUCAGUGUCGCAGCUAACGCGUUAAGCACCCCGCCUGGGGAGUACGGCCGCAAGGUUG
This 371-nucleotide ribosomal RNA is filed under the name uncultured bacterium. Its description in RNAcentral is "bacterial SSU rRNA". It matches the Rfam family "Bacterial small subunit ribosomal RNA", at positions 525 to 896 of the family's 1533-position model. The record is from RNAcentral.